AAGCUCUGAAAAUGCUAAACAGUGCAUUAGAAAUGAAAUAGCAGAGUAACUCCCAUGUCUCAGCCUCCCAUUUCCUAGCAUGGAUAUGCCUGCCUCAUGAACAAUGUCAGGCACAAGGGCUUGAGUAAGCUAUACAAACACAGUUAUACAGGUCAGUCCUGAACACUUGAACUCUAGCCAUGGAAGAGCUACACGCUUGGAGACUCUCACCUUAGACAGUGGCAAUAUAUGUUUAUACCUGCAGCCAGACAUUACCAGCACCUGUCUCUCACCUCCCAGUCCAGAACUUCUGCGAACGGAACUUGUGAGAGUGGGUCUGAUCUUCAAAUUGUGAUCUUGUGAUGAGACAUUUAUACUUGGUAUGUCAGCAGAAGAGAAGCCAUCCGGGCAAGGAUUCAGGCCAAUUACAAUGCAUUUCAGGUUUUAAUAAAAAGCAGACAUCCCCUCCUUUCACCCUCUGUUCUCUGAAGUAAACUGAUUUCCCAUAUGUUCAUGAGCUAUGCUCUUCCCUUACCAGUCAUUCCUAAUGAACUUUUCAAUUUAUACAUAAGCAAGGCAUUACUCCUUCUCCCUUGCAUUGGCAUUCCCUUAUGUUUGUUUCUGGUUCCUAUCAGGAGGGAUUUCUGAAGAAUCAACCCUUUUUAGUCACUCUAAGUGAAAAUAAAACCAUAUACUGUUUACCUUGGAAUGUUAAAAAAAAAAAAGCAGUGUCAGACUAUAUUCUGUGGAUUUACAUACAUUUUUAAAUAACUGAGAAAAAAUACAGUCAACAUUUUAAAAAGUUAUCACUACUUGGGAUUUGCCCAGCAGGAAUACAAGAGAUACCUGAACGUUUUCUAGGAUGUUAGCUCACCACUGAAUUCAGCUUAUGGUAACCUCAUAAAUGUUGUAAACCAAAUUAGAAAGAAAAAUGCAUCAUACCUGGAGAACAAGGGUACUAUAUCUCUGUAUUUUUUCCUAAUAAACAUGAGGGAAAAUUGAAUGAGAAUGAAUCUUUUAAAGUUUGAAAGUCUCUGAGGAAACAUCUUCCUUCGUACAAGUAUUUGCUUCUGUGCUGUGCCGAUUACAGAAGCUACUAUUGAAGUCCAUGCUUAGGGAGAUAAAUUUCAGGAAUAUUUAGCUCUUAAAAAUUCAGGAAGUAUAAUUUAAAAUUACUCUAAAAAUAAUAAUUUUAAAAACAUAUUUUAUUGAAGUUCGGCCUAAACUUGUGUGGAUGUGAGAGACAACGUAUUUGACACAGAGCAUCGUAGGAGCUGCCAGCUUCUACCUAGUUGUUGGCAACACUAUUUCAAUUAUUUUUUCCAGUGAAGCCAGACCCUUUCAGACUUUAAAGGUUUCUUUUUUUAAUGCUCCAGCAGAUCUGAACAUGAUCAAUGUCCACAGAUGGGAUCUUGAUAGAAACAAAGCUUUUGAAGCUUGAAAAUCAGCCACAGCCAGCUUACAGCAGCCAAUGCUAGCCUGGCUCUGAGGAUACUUGUGACCAGUAUUCUAACUUAAAAGGAGCUUACAUUUUCAAUCAAAACAACAUACUUGUCUACUGGCAAAGCAUACCAACAUUUGAAAAGAAGUUAAAUUUUAAAACUUGGACAACCAUUUGCAGGAUUUAUAAAACCACAGCUGAAUUUACCAGUAAAUCUGCAAGAACUGUACACACACACACACAGAAUCCCACCCCAUUUAGUGGCAUAUGGCAUAGUAGGAAUACUUCAUCAUGUGGCAUGGGAUUUUCAUUAUAAAAUAAUUUGAAAAAUAUUACAGACACGCAAAUUAACAAAUAGUUUUUUCCCCAGAUAAAUCUCUUUUGAUAGAAAUUUUCUGAUCACUUUUGUUCAGCAUCCUUGCUAGACCUAUGGAGUCAUAUUCCCAGUUUCUGAGGUUGUGCCUUAAAAUACAGUUUAGUCUUUUGGAUGUGACAACUGAUCAGGAUUUCAGAAUGCUAUACAACAGCUACUGCUUCCCAUGUAACUUUGGCAAAAUAAAGCUCCAUACGCAACUAACUUGUCUGAAUAGACACAAGGUGUCAUUACUGUACCCUGCUGCAAUUGUCCACUUCUGAGCGAGUCAUCCACUUACAUCUGAGCACAUGAUCUAAGCCUGUUCUUCUCCUCCUAAAGCAAAACUCUGAGAAGGUCAGAAGAAUCAUGGCCUAAAGGUACCUUUUUUUAACUAACUGUAGAUAGCCAUGGAUGACCAGCUUAGAUUAGACUCAGAUAAAAGCUAUUAAUUUACCCAGAUAAAUUCCAAUUCAAUUAAAAAAAAAAAAAUCUCUAUGUUCCUCAAAACAGCAUUAUCUACGCAUUUCAAAAAGUAGCAUGCCUGUAUCCUGAUAACACCAUUAUAUGACAGGGAAAUAUCUCUCUUUGUGCUAUUUAUGGGCAUCUGAGGCCCACAGGCUAAGUCUAUACUUACCCACAGCCAUAUUUUUGUGAGCAGUGAAAACUUGGUGUGAAUUUUUGC
Molecule: long non-coding RNA, 2457 nt
Organism: Corvus hawaiiensis (hawaiian crow)
Lineage: Eukaryota; Metazoa; Chordata; Aves; Passeriformes; Corvidae
Exons: 3
Source: RefSeq, a predicted model, not a curated record